Molecule: long non-coding RNA, 2921 nt
Filed under: Sus scrofa (pig)
Lineage: Eukaryota; Metazoa; Chordata; Mammalia; Artiodactyla; Suidae
Description: lncRNA (ENSSSCG00050065009.1)
Source: RNAcentral
CUUGUCCUGUGAUGGGAUAGGAGGAGCCUGACUGUUGCCCCAACAGCAUUCACCAUGGACCUCAGGUGUUCUGGAGCUAGAUGGUGAAGUAUGGGCGUGCUUUAUUCAGUUGUGCAUGACUUAAAAGUUUAGUUUGCUUCUUCUAAGUUGCCGAAAUUCCUGAGAACUCAGGUAAGCAAAAAGAAGACAACAAAAAAGCUCUCAAAUCCUACCCUUUUAGAGAAAACACCAGUUAAAUGUGGUUGUCUGCCCUUCUAUGUAGGGAUGGAUGUGGUGUAGACAUUUUGAUUAAAACCAGGUGUGGGUGACGCUGCCAAAGCUUUGUUUGAGGGGCCUGAGAGCAAGGAAGAGAUUUUGAGAGAAGGGGACCCACAGAGCACGCCAAGGAGCAAUGGGGGCACCUGGGGUGAGGGUGACUGAGUGGAUUUUACCACGGGACAACCGAUGCUCUUGGGAGACUCCCAGAUUAACCCAAAUCCAAACAUAAACGGAGGCCUCGCUGGCUAGACCCUUCCCCCUCCUCUGGACCCCUGCCAGGAAGGUGGGAACCUCUUCCCAGCCCCUUCCUCCCUCAGGCCCUUCCCAUCAGGCCCUGCUCCAAGCCAUAGGGCAUCCCCAACUCUGUUGCCAGGCUUCUGUCACGUGGCGCCGCACUGCCCAUUAACUGCUGUGUAAAACUGAUAACUGUGAUCCAGAGGUUUCUGGACUCCUGGAGCCCCAAGUCAAAGGCUCAGUUUAGCUCCCUCUGGCCUUAAGGCCUCAGAUAAAUGGUCGGGAGCGAUAAAGAGAACAAAACCUGCCAACAGGACUUGUUCCAGGAGAUAAAAGGAGCAGUUACCAGCUGUGGCAAGCUAGGAUUUCCUCCAGACGCCCAUUCUCAAGAAGAGCGGCUUCCAGGGGAGUUCCCUUGUGGCAUAGUGGGUAAAGGAUCUAGCAAGUCAUUGCUGUGGCUCAGGUUCGCUCCCUGGCUCCGGGCACAGUCAAAAAAAAAAAAAAAAAGAAAAAAAAAGAAAGUGUUGUAAACUACAAGUGUAUGUGGAAACCUGAACUGGGAGCGGGGCUGAGGUGGAGCCACUCAGGGCAGGCAAGGACGGGCGCCCACUCGCUCAGACCUCUCCUCUCUCUUUGCUCCUCCCCUCGUGAUGCACCUCUGAGCAACACAGUUUAGAGAAUUCUCCUUGUGCCAAAGCCAGGAUUGGCGGGAGAAACUAGGAAGUUCCAGCUCCUCUGAGGGUGGCUGCGGUCUCAGCCCUCUGAGACAGGGCUGGUCCCUCCUCUUCCUGAGACCCGCUGUGGCUCCCCUGGGGCCAGUCGCCAGGAUGGGCGGGGCACCCAGAGGCAGACAGGAUUGCUUGCUUUCUGGGUUGAUUUUUCUUUCUUUUUAAAUUUUAUUUUAUUUUAUCUUUUUAAUUUUUUUUUUUUUUUUGGCUGCCCCACAGCAUACGGAGGUCCCAGGCCAGGGAUCACAUCUGAGCCACAGGGGCAACCUAAGCUGCAGGUAUGGACUGACCUUUCUUGUAGGCCAGACGACAAGUGGGACGGGCAUUGGGGGGACUCUGAGGCUAGGUGGGGCCAGCCCUAUCCCAAUUUCCCAUCAAUAGUGUUCUCUUGCACAGAGACUGAGGAAGAACCGUGACUCACUUCCUCCCUCAGUCUGACUGUAGAACUAUUGUUCUCCCACUGUGGCUGGUGCUGCUGGAUGGGGCUACCCCAGGCUGGCCCCUAGGAGUCUGCUCCUUGUGGGAGGCAGUUCCCAUUCUGAGAAGGGGCCAACCGGACGUACCUCCCUAACCAACUUUCAGCACCCAUAUUCUUUUUUUUUUGUCUUUUUAGGGCCACACCCGCAGCAUAUGGAGGUUCCCAGGCUAGGCGUUGAAUCGGAGCUGCAGCCGCCUGCCUACACCAUGGCCCCAGCAAUGCCAGAUCCAAGCCUUGUCUGUGACCUACACCACGGUUCAUGACAACGUCAGAUCCUUCAUCCACUGAGGGAGGCCAGGCGUCUUCAUGGAUGCUAGUCAGAUUCGUUUCCGCUGAGCCACAACAGGAACUCCAGCACCCCAUAUUCUUCCCUGUUUCCGGUUUUUGCACUAUUUGGACAGGUGCCCAAAUAGUACCUUGUCCCAUCGGUUGGAUAUUAUCUCCAUUUUACAGAAGGGUAAGUUGAGGCUCUGAGAAUUCAGUAACUUGUCUAAGGUGGCAUGGUAUAAAACACUGCCUUGGGGAUUUGAACUGGUGGCUGGUUGACUUGUCACCUAGUGAGUUACGUCAGGAACUUCUCUGGGUCUGUUUCCUCCUCUGUAAAAUGUAAAUAGGGACACAUGAAAGGUGCCUAAAGGAAUACUGUAUCCACUUUACAGGGUUUGGGGUAAGGACGAAAUAAGCUAACACACGCAAAGAGUUGAGAACUGCUCCUGGCUCAGAGGACACACUCUGAUGUUGUUUUUUUGUAGUUUUUUUUUGUCACUAUCCCCAAACCAGUGUUGAGGAGGCCACAGGAUAAUACUGUGCUGCCAGGUUAUCUCAAAGGGAGCAUGAAGGGAUGGACAGAGACUGCUCUUUGACCUUGGAACAACCCAGCCUGGGGAGCCCUUGGCCCCAUUUCCCCUUUUCUUUCUCAGCUCAAGCAGUAGUGGCCUCCGCCAAGUCGCACAGACGUUUUCUAGGGCAGGGACCCAGGGAGGGAGAGAGGCCGGCUGGUUUAUUGCAAGUAGCUCAGAUUCAGGCUCUGCCAAAGCCCUACAUCUCUUCCAGGCUCUGAGGCCUGCUAGCUGUGGGACACUGGGCAAAUUAUUUAAACUUGGGGCACCUCAGUUUUCUUAUCUGCAAAACGGGGUUAAUAAAGUCAGUCUGAAAGGAUUACGUCGAUUAAAUAAUGUACAUAAGAAGGAGAUGCUACAAAGUGACUGCCCUGGUGCCUGGCA